UCCCAGACUCCUACGGGAGGCAGCAGUGGGGGAUAUUGCACAAUGGGCGAAAGCCUGAUGCAGCAACGCCGCGUGAAGGAAGAAGGGUUUCGGCUCGUAAACUUCUAUCAACAGGGACGAAAGAAAUGACGGUACCUGAAUAAGAAGCCCCGGCUAACUACGUGCCAGCAGCCGCGGUAAUACGUAGGGGGCAAGCGUUAUCCGGAAUUACUGGGUGUAAAGGGAGAGUAGGCGGCAAGGUAAGCGAUAUGUGAAAGCCUUAGGCUUAACCUGAGGAUUGCAUAACGAACUAUCUAGCUAGAGUACAGGAGAGGAAAGCGGAAUUCCUAGUGUAGCGGUGAAAUGCGUAGAUAUUAGGAAGAACACCAGUGGCGAAGGCGGCUUUCUGGACUGAAACUGACGCUGAGGCUCGAAAGCGUGGGGAGCGAACAGGAUUAGAUACCCUUGUAAC
RNAcentral lists this ribosomal RNA (451 nucleotides) under uncultured bacterium. RNAcentral's name for it is "partial 16S ribosomal RNA". It matches the Rfam family "Bacterial small subunit ribosomal RNA", at positions 329 to 794 of the family's 1533-position model. The record is from RNAcentral.